CUUAAAAACACAACAAUACAAAAUGUUUCAGGAUUGAAAUAAUUAUGUAAACGUCACUUUCAAAGAUAAUUCGGUCAUUGCUUUUGGAUUAUGUUUUAUUUGAGACUAGCUGACCCGGUGAACUUUGUUCCGCCUUAGAGGCAAUAAAUGAGCAGACUUUUGAUUUUAUCAAGCAGGAUUCGAACACCAGCGCAGGGGUAUCGCUCGGCGUGAUCAUACCAGGCCUCUUAUCCUUUAGGCCACGACGACUUCACUUAACAAUUUCGGUAUUGAGAAUUCGAUUUUUUCACGCUAAAGACAAUUAUUAAAUAAUAACUGUAUUCGCUCAGGACGUCACCUCCUUUGGUAUGUGUUUUGCUGCACUCAAUCCAAGAUCUUCCGGUUUCAAGAGGGAUAUCGUCGCUAUACAACUCACGUCUGAAGCAUUAUUUCCGAUUAAGAAACGCUGGUUGGAUGUGGUAAAGGCGGUUGUGGAGGAGAAUAACCUCACCCAGAAGGAUGCCGAAGACCGGGCAAAGUGGAGGUGUUUAAGUAAGAAAGUGGACUCUAGCAUCAGACCAGAAAAACGCUAGUAAAAAGAAGAAAAAGAAGACAUUAUUUCCGACAAUUCGAAUACUUUAGAUUUUUCGUGGUAUAAAGUAUUUUUAAUUAGAUUAUCGGUGCUGUCUGGACAAAUCGAACUUUGAACGUCUGGUGACAAUGGAACGUACACGGGAAAAAUACCGGUCGGAUGUAUACAUCGCCACUGGAAUAAAACCAGUUUCAAUGAUAAAAAUAGGGCAGUGCCAAGUGUGAAUCAUUAUUAUAAUGAUAAUUUUUAUUCGUAAUGUCGCAUUUAUUAAUACAAAUUUGUACGUGCUUGAA
Bombyx mori (domestic silkworm) is the source of this 864-nucleotide long non-coding RNA. RefSeq lists it as uncharacterized. The transcript has 5 exons. NCBI's taxonomy places the organism in Eukaryota, Metazoa, Arthropoda, Insecta, Lepidoptera, Bombycidae. The record is from RefSeq and is a predicted model, not a curated record.